Molecule: ribosomal RNA, 448 nt
Filed under: uncultured Planctomycetota bacterium
Lineage: Bacteria; Pseudomonadati; Planctomycetota
Description: bacterial SSU rRNA
Rfam family: Bacterial small subunit ribosomal RNA
Source: RNAcentral
GCUUAGAGAGGGGUCAAUGUCCUAUCAGCUAGUUGGCAGGGUAAUGGCCUACCAAGGCUAAGACGGGUAGCCGGCCUGAGAGGGUGGUCGGCCACACUGGGACUGAGACACUGCCCAGACUCCUACGGGAGGCUGCAGUCGAGAAUCUUUCGCAAUGCCCGAAAGGGUGACGAAGCGACGCCGCGUGUGGGAAGAAGGCCUUCGGGUUGUAAACCACUGUCGGGAGUUAGGAAAUGUAAGGGUGUUAAUAGCAUCCUUACUUGACUAAGGCUCCGGAGGAAGCCACGGCUAACUCUGUGCCAGCAGCCGCGGUAAUACAGAGGCGGCAAGCGUUGUUCGGAAUUAUUGGGCGUAAAGAGCACGUAGGCGGCUUUGUAAGUCAGUUGUGAAAGCCUUCCGCUUAACGGAAGAACAGCAUCUGACACUGCAAGGCUAGAGUGCGGAAGGG